UCAAACUUGGUCAUUUAGAGGAAGUAAAAGUCGUAACAAGGUUUCCGUAGGUGAACCUGCGGAAGGAUCAUUACAAGGUUUACAAAAUGCCGGAGGGGGAGGGGAGAGGGGUCACUCUCUCUUUCCCUUCUCCUUCGGCAUGAAAUAACCACCGAUCAUUUCCUGUGUGCACUCAUUUCUUUUGGGGGGGAAUCGAUUUCCCUCGGUUCCUCCCCCAACCUUUCUCCUCAGCCUUACCGUUUGUCUGAUGAAAAUCUUUAUAAAAGAUAAAAAAAUACAACUUUCAACAACGGAUCUCUUGGCUCUCGCAUCGAUGAAGAACGCAGC
RNAcentral lists this unclassified non-coding RNA (327 nucleotides) under uncultured fungus. RNAcentral's name for it is "partial contains small subunit ribosomal RNA, internal transcribed spacer 1, and 5.8S ribosomal RNA". The stretch from base 1 to 73 matches the Rfam family "Eukaryotic small subunit ribosomal RNA", at positions 1759 to 1831 of the family's 1831-position model. Lineage: Eukaryota; Fungi. The record is from RNAcentral.